GAUGAACGCUGGCGGCGUGCCUAAUACAUGCAAGUCGAGCGAACGGACGAGAAGCUUGCUUCUCUGAUGUUAGCGGCGGACGGGUGAGUAACACGUGGAUAACCUACCUAUAAGACUGGGAUAACUUCGGGAAACCGUAGCUAAUACCGGAUAAUAUUUUGAACCGCAUGGUUCAAAAGUGAAAGACGGUCUUGCUGUCACUUAUAGAUGGAUCCGCGCUGCAUUAGCUAGUUGGUAAGGUAACGGCCUACCAAGGCAACGAUGCAUAGCCGACCUGAGAGGGUGAUCGGCCACACUGGAACUGAGACACGGUCCAGACUCCUACGGGAGGCAGCAGUAGGGAAUCUUCCGCAAUGGGCGAAAGCCUGACGGAGCAACGCCGCGUGAGUGAUGAAGGUCUUCGGAUCGUAAAACUCUGUUAUUAGGGAAGAACAUAUGUGUAAGUAACUGUGCACAUCUUGACGGUACCUAAUCAGAAAGCCACGGCUAACUACGUG
This 497-nucleotide ribosomal RNA is filed under the name uncultured bacterium. RNAcentral's name for it is "partial 16S ribosomal RNA". It matches the Rfam family "Bacterial small subunit ribosomal RNA", at positions 28 to 507 of the family's 1533-position model. The record is from RNAcentral.